AUGAUACGUGAAGACAACCGUCGCGCAGGACACAACAAGUCCGGCCAGGCCGAACACAGUAGACAAAGCUCUUUUGAGCUCCGUCGUGAUAUAGCCCAAUAUAGAGGCGCCGCACACCCACUAUGCUUCACAGAUGAAGUAAUGGAUCAUCAAAUCCCCGAAGGGUUUAAACCCGUGAAUAUUGAAUCUUAUGAUGGCACAACAGACCCCGCGGUUUGGAUCAAAGACUAUCUCCUUCAUAUCCACAUGGCCCGCGGUGAUGAUCUUCACGCCAUCAAAUACCUCCCACUCAAGCUUAAAGGACCAGCUCGGCAUUGGCUCAACAGCUUGCCAGCGGAAUCAAUUGGGUGUUGGGAGGACCUGGAAGCCGCAUUCCUUGAUAACUUCCAGGGCACGUAUGUGCGACCACCAGACGCUGACGACCUAAGCCAUAUAAUUCAGCAGCCAGACGAAUCGGCCAGACAAUUCUGGACACGGUUCUUAACUAAGAAAAAUCAAAUCGUCGACUGUCCGGAUGCGGAGGCCCUCGUGGCCUUCAAACAUAACAUCCGCGACGAGUGGCUUGCCCGGCACCUGGGACAGGAAAAGCCGAAAUCCAUGGCAGCCCUCACAUCACUCAUGACCCGCUUCUGCGCGGGAGAGGACAGCUGGCUAGCCCGCAGCAACAACCUCAGCAAAAAUUCUGGAAGUCCGGAAAUCAAGGACCGCAAUGGCAGGCCGCGUCGCAACAAGAACAAACGCCGCAUUAACGGCAACAAUAAUGAGGAUACGACAGUCAAUGCCGGAUUCAGAGGCUCUAAACCCGGUCAGCGGAAAAAGCCAUUCAAAAGAACUACUCCGGGUCCGUCCAAUUUGGACCGAAUACUCGAUCGCUCGUGCCAGAUACACGGCACCCCCGAAAGGCCAGCUAACCACACCAACAGGGACUGUUGGGUAUUCAAGCAGGCAAGCAAGCUAAUUGCCGAAAACAACGACAAGGGGCUGCAUAGCGAUGACAAGGAAGAGACCCAAUCGCCGAACAAUAGAGGACAGAAGGGUUUCCCCCCACAAGUGCGGACGGUGAACAUGAUAUACACAACCCACAUACCCAAAAGGGAGCGGAAGCGUGCACUCAGGGAUGUAUACGCGAUGGAGCCAGUCGCCCCGAAGUUCAACCCAUGGUCCUCCUGCCCGAUCACUUUUGAUCGAAGGGACCACCCCACCAGCAUCCGCCACGGCGGAUUCUCCACAUUGGUUUUAGACCCAAUCGUCGAUGGAUUUCACCUCACCAGAGUCCUGAUGGACGGCGGCAGCAGCCUGAACCUGCUUUAUCAGGAUACAGUGCGCAAAAUGGGUAUAGACCCCUCAAGGAUUAAACCCACAAAGACGACCUUUAAAGGCAUCAUACCAGGUGUAGAGGCCAAUUGUACAGGCUCAGUUACACUGGAAGUGGUCUUUGGAUCCCCAGAUAACUUCUGA
RNAcentral lists this ribosomal RNA (1458 nucleotides) under Triticum aestivum (bread wheat). Its description in RNAcentral is "partial small subunit ribosomal RNA". Lineage: Eukaryota; Viridiplantae; Streptophyta; Magnoliopsida; Poales; Poaceae. The record is from RNAcentral.